GACGAACGCUGGCGGCGUGCUUAACACAUGCAAGUCGAACGGAAAGGCCCUGCGUUUGUGGGGUGCUCGAGUGGCGAACGGGUGAGUAACACGUGAGUAACCUGCCCUUGACUUUGGGAUAACUUCAGGAAACUGGGGCUACUACCGGAUAGGAUCUCCUGCUGCAUGGUGGGGGUUGGAAAGUUUCGGCGGUUGGGGAUGGACUCGCGGCUUAUCAGCUUGUUGGUGGGGUAGUGGCUUACCAAGGCUUUGACGGGUAGCCGGCCUGAGAGGGUGACCGGCCACAAUGGGACUGAGAUACGGCCCAGACUCCUACGGGAGGCAGCAGUGGCGAAUAUUGCACAGUGGGCGGAAGUCUGAUGCAGCAACGCCGCGGGCGGGAUGACGGCCUUCGGGUUGUAAACCGCUUUCGCCUGUGACGAAGCGUGAGUGACGGUAAUGAGUAAAGAAGCACCGGCUAACUACGUG
This 468-nucleotide ribosomal RNA is filed under the name uncultured bacterium. Its description in RNAcentral is "partial 16S ribosomal RNA". It matches the Rfam family "Bacterial small subunit ribosomal RNA", at positions 28 to 507 of the family's 1533-position model. The record is from RNAcentral.